CCAAAAACAUAGCCCUUGGACUAAUCAAAGGUGCAACCUGCCCACUGGUAUAAAAUUUAAUAGAAAUAAAAUUCUAUAAUUAAACUUAAAGGACGCAGUAACCUGACUGUGGUAAUGUAGCAUAAUCAUUCGCCAUUUAAUUGAUGGAUAGUAUGAAUGGUUAAACGAAUUCUUCACUGUCUUAAAAAAAGAAACCAUGAAAUUGAAAUAAUAGUAAAGAUGCUAUUUAAUAUUGUAAGACGAAAAGACCCUAUAGAGCUUAACUAUUAACUUUCUAUUAAAACAUAACUAAAUAGUUAUUAAAUAAGAAAGUUAGGUAGUUUAGUUGGGGCGACUAUCUUCUAAAACUAACGAAGACAAGCAAUAUUAAUAAUUAAUUUAUUGUAUAAUUAAUAAAUUUAACAAUUACAAAAGUAGGCUAUAAUGACCCGUUGUAAUCAAAUAAUAGAUAUAACGAUUAAUAAAUAAAAGCUACCUUAGGGAUAACAGGAUAAUUUUGUUCUAGAGAUCCUAUCGAAGACAAAGUUUGUCACCUCUAUGUUGAAUUAAGAUAUCCUGAUAGUGCAGAAGCUAUCAAUGGUAGGUCUGUUCGACCUUUAAAAUCUUACAUGAUUU
This 615-nucleotide ribosomal RNA is filed under the name Podocoryna hayamaensis. Its description in RNAcentral is "partial 16S ribosomal RNA". It matches the Rfam family "Bacterial large subunit ribosomal RNA", at positions 1807 to 2606 of the family's 2925-position model. Lineage: Eukaryota; Metazoa; Cnidaria; Hydrozoa; Anthoathecata; Hydractiniidae. The record is from RNAcentral.